UCUAUAUAAAAUUCUGUAAAUACAUAUACAGCAAGUUAACUUGUGCUGUAAAUGUAAACACUGAAGCUAAGCAGGGCUGUGCUCGGUCAGUACCUGGAUGGGAGACCACAUGGGAAAGCUAUGUUUCUGCCAGAA
RNAcentral lists this ribosomal RNA (135 nucleotides) under Danio rerio (zebrafish). Lineage: Eukaryota; Metazoa; Chordata; Actinopteri; Cypriniformes; Danionidae. The record is from RNAcentral.